GACGAACCGAGCGAACGUUGUUCGGAAUCACUGGGCUUAAAGGGCGCGUAGGCGGGCUGUCAAGUCCGGGGUGAAAUCUUUCGGCUUAACCGGAAAAGUGCCUUGUAUACUGAUGGUCUCGAGGGAGGUAGGGGCAGCUGGAACUUCCGGUGGAGCGGUGAAAUGCGUUGAUAUCGGAAGGAACUCCGGUGGCGAAAGCGAGCUGCUGGACCUCUUCUGACGCUGAGGCGCGAAAGCUACGGGAGCAAGCGGG
This 253-nucleotide ribosomal RNA is filed under the name uncultured bacterium. RNAcentral's name for it is "partial 16S ribosomal RNA". It matches the Rfam family "Bacterial small subunit ribosomal RNA", at positions 524 to 776 of the family's 1533-position model. The record is from RNAcentral.